UCCCAUAUCACGGGCAUAUUUGAAUCUUUUCUUCAUAAUUCUACUUCUUGUCCUAUGAUGUUAACCAAAGUAAAGCUCAAUAUGCAAUUUAAUGUCAUGAAAAUAAGAAACAAACCAACUAUAUACACUGCUGUAUGAAACCUUGCUACCAAGAGUUCCUCAGCGAGUGCAUUCCCCAGGGAUCCACAACGUGCAGCUGGAGCAGCAAAAAAGUUGGGAUCGAAAGCUGCAUUGACUUUUAUUGGGAAAUCUCCAGCUGUCUAGUGAAGAAGUCUGAACUCCAGCUGCUUCCUACGCAUCUGGGAUCCCCAGUGUUGCUGGCUGCUGUUUGUGAGGUCUCAGGUUGGUUUCUUGCUCUGUCUGCCUGUUCCGAGCCAUUUCCUCACAACCUGAAGUGAGAGCAGCUUGAAAAGAGAAGGUGGUGAGGAAAAGAAGACUCGGGGGAUGCUAAUUAAGGUGGCAAUGAUAAAUGUAAUUUUUGCCUUAAAUGGUGGUUGGUGGGAAAAGUCACAGCUGUGCCCCGGUGUGACAGGGUUUGCUAUCGAUCUGUUGUUAGCGUAAGUGAAAAGUCUUACAUGGUUCUAGUUUUCGUGAUACUGCUGAUGACUUUUACAUGCUUUGAUUUUUAUUUUAUUUUAAUCUAAU
This 645-nucleotide long non-coding RNA is filed under the name Struthio camelus australis. RNAcentral's name for it is "lncRNA (ENSSCUG00000013287.1)". Lineage: Eukaryota; Metazoa; Chordata; Aves; Struthioniformes; Struthionidae. The record is from RNAcentral.